AGCAGGCGCGCAAAUUACCCAAUCCCGACANGGGGAGGUAGUGACAAUAAAUAACAACACAGGGCUCUUUUGGGUCUUGUUAUUGGAAUGAGUACGAUUUAAAUCUCCUAACGAGGAACAAUUGGAGGGCAAGUCUGGUGCCAGCAGCCGCGGUAAUUCCAGCUCCAAUAGCGUAUAUUAAAGUUGUUGCAGUUAAAAAGCUCGUAGUUGAAUUUCAGGCCUGGCUGGACGGUCCGCCCUUCGGGUGAGUACUGUCUGUGGUCGGGUCCUACCUUCUGGCGAAGCGUCAUGGCCUUAACCGGCCGUGGCGGGGAACCAGGACUUUUACUGUGAAAAAAUUAGAGUGUUCAAAGCAGGCAAUCGCUUGGAUACAUUAGCAUGGAAUAAUGGAAUAGGACAAUGGUUCUAUUUGUUGGUUUCUAGGACCGUUGUAAUGAUUAAUAGGGAUAGUUGGGGGCAUUAGUAUUCAAUUGUCAGAGGUGAAAUUCUUGGAUUUAUUGAAGACUAACUACUGCGAAAGCAUUUGCCAAGGAUGUUUUCAUUAAUCAAGAACGAAAGUUAGGGGAUCGAAGACGAUCAGAUACCGUCGUAGUCUUAACCAUAAACUAUGCCGACUAGGAAUCGGGCGAUGUUGAAAAAAUGACGCGCUCGGCACCUCAUGGGAAACCAAAGUGUUUGGGUUCA
RNAcentral lists this ribosomal RNA (684 nucleotides) under uncultured Glomeromycotina. RNAcentral's name for it is "SSU rRNA". It matches the Rfam family "Eukaryotic small subunit ribosomal RNA", at positions 427 to 1115 of the family's 1831-position model. Lineage: Eukaryota; Fungi; Glomeromycota. The record is from RNAcentral.